RNAcentral lists this ribosomal RNA (485 nucleotides) under uncultured bacterium. RNAcentral describes it as "bacterial SSU rRNA". It matches the Rfam family "Bacterial small subunit ribosomal RNA", at positions 28 to 507 of the family's 1533-position model. The record is from RNAcentral.
GAUGAACGCUAGCGGCAAGCCUAACACAUGCAAGUCGAACGGUAACUUUUGGUGCUUGCACCGAAAGACGAGUGGCGAACGGGUGCGUAACGCGUAUGCAAUCUGCCUUUUACUAGGGUAUAGCCCAGAGAAAUUUGGAUUAAUCCCCUAUAAUAUCAUUUAAUCGCAUGAUUUUAUGAUUAAAGCUUCGGCGGUAAAAGAUGAGCAUGCGUCCUAUUAGUUAGUAGGUGAGGUAACGGCUCACCUAGACUCCGAUAGGUAGGGGUCCUGAGAGGGAGAUCCCCCACACUGGUACUGAGACACGGACCAGACUCCUACGGGAGGCAGCAGUGAGGAAUAUUGGGCAAUGGAGGCAACUCUGACCCAGCCAUGCCGCGUGCAGGAAGACGGCCCUACGGGUUGUAAACUGCUUUUAUACAGGAAGAACACCACCCACGUGUGGGUGACUGACGGUACUGUAAGAAUAAGGACCGGCUAACUCCGUG